Molecule: unclassified non-coding RNA, 789 nt
Filed under: Hevea brasiliensis (rubber tree)
Lineage: Eukaryota; Viridiplantae; Streptophyta; Magnoliopsida; Malpighiales; Euphorbiaceae
Source: RNAcentral
AAAAAAUAAAUUUAUUUUUUUUCUUCACGCAAUACAUAUGAACUGAAGAAAAAAAUAAGAGAAAAAAAAAAUCAAUGGCGGCAUCGAAGAGCUAUUUCGCUAGAUCGAACUACCGGUUUCUAUCAAGUGACCGGAAUGUUUCAGUAACUUCCGAUACGAUGUUCGAGCUGGAUGAAUCCGAUGUAUGGAACUCACCGGCGACGGCAAGGUCAUCGUCGCCGGAGUUUCGGAAAACGAAUACGAGGAUUUCUAGAAAGCAGUCGAUUGCGAAAAGUGAUCGAAACAGUACUGGAGUAACGGUAAAAUCAGCAGCAGCGGUUGCGGCGGCGUCUUCUAUGCCGGUGAACGUGCCGGACUGGUCGAAGAUACUGAAGGAUGAGUAUAGAGAGAAUCGGAGAAGAGAUAGCGAUGAUGACGGAGAAGACGAUGAUGAUGCUGAGAAUCGGAUUCCGCCGCAUGAGUUUUUAGCGAGGCAGUUUGCGAGAACGAGAAUCGCUUCCUUCUCUGUUCACGAAGGAGUUGGAAGGACUCUCAAAGGUAGAGAUCUUAGUAGAGUCAGAAAUGCAAUUUUCGAGAAAACUGGAUUCGAAGAUUAAAAUUUUCAAACUAUUCAACCGAUCCAUCGAUCGAUCUAACUGUGAGAAAUUCAAAUUACUACCUACUUUUUUUUGGUUCAACAAUCUCAAAACUCUCUAUUUUUCCUUCUUUUUUUUUUUCUACCUAUUUUUGCAAGCGGUUACCGAGUUACAGAUGCAUUGUAAUUGUAACGUUUUUUUUUUCGAAAUUUUG